AUUGAACGCUGGCGGCAGGCCUAACACAUGCAAGUCGAACGAGUGGCGGACGGGUGAGUAAUGUCUGGGAAUCUGCCUGAGGGAGGGGGAUCACUACUGGAAACGGUAGCUCAUAACGAAUAGCAUAGGAUGUGACCAGAUAGGAUUAGCUAGUAGGUGGGGUAAAGGCAAACCAAGGCGACGAACCCUAGCUGGUCUGAGAGGAUGACCAGUAACACUGGAACGGAGACACGGUCCAGACUCCGACGGGAGGCAGCAGUGGGGAAUAUGGCACAAUGGGCGCAAGCCUGAUUCAGCCCUCCCGAGUGUCUGAAGAAGGCCUUCGGAUUGUAAAGUACUUUCAGCGGGGAGGCGUUACCCGCAGAAGAAGCACCGGCUAACUCCGUGCCAGCCGCCGCGGUAAUUC
This 406-nucleotide ribosomal RNA is filed under the name uncultured bacterium. Its description in RNAcentral is "partial 16S ribosomal RNA". It matches the Rfam family "Bacterial small subunit ribosomal RNA", at positions 30 to 526 of the family's 1533-position model. The record is from RNAcentral.